GCCCGGUGCGGAUGUCAUGCUCUGGCUUAAAAUCCGCCGCUUCCUGAAAAGGGGCGUGCCGGUUCGACCCCGGCUCGGGGCACCA
RNAcentral lists this transfer RNA (85 nucleotides) under Acidovorax sp. SUPP2539. RNAcentral's name for it is "tRNA-Phe". The record is from RNAcentral. Lineage: Bacteria; Pseudomonadati; Pseudomonadota; Betaproteobacteria; Burkholderiales; Comamonadaceae.